CGAGAAUUUGUGUGUGCUACUGGUGCCAACAUUCCAAGAAAUAACAAUCCAUUCCAACAUUCAAUGCAUGUAAUCCGUUUUGAGUAAACAUAACAUGCAAGCUACUAAGGAACGACAAUCACCACUGAUAGCCAACUCCUACCAACAACAGAUUUCAACAGCAAUUACCAAUUAAUACAUCACAUUCCUUUUAUAGUUCUGACACAUAAUUUCAAAGUAAGUUGAAAGUGAAUAACAAGACGAGAAAAUAAAAAAAAGGAAAAUAAAAUCAGGCAAAAUGAUCACAUCAUAUCUUCAUUUCUCUUUAGCAAAGGCAUUUUAUAAGCCACUCUUUACAUGUUGGAAGUCAAAUGUGUACCUGGAAGUAAUAAAAGGAAAAGAGGUGAUUAUGGUAAGCAAGCAGCAAUAGUAGUAGACCAAACAAAAUAGAAUUUGACAGCACCAAGCAAAGUCCUAGAUUCAACCAAAUAACAAGUGAAAUCAACUCAAAUACCAAUGAAACACUGACCUCAACCCACAACACAAAUCCCAGACUUUAACUAAGAGAAAAUUCAAGCCAUUUCUCACGUUUAUUGAACCUAAGACUGCCUUGAAAAAUUUAAAUAAAAAAAUAUGGAAUAAAAGCCUAUGGAACAGUAAUUUUCUGCAAUUAUUUAGCUACCUGGAACUUUUCCAAAUUUCUCACUCAUUAGAAGUCUAUGAAAACAGUAAAGUUCAUCCGUCCUCUUUUUUCUCUCUCUAUAUUAU
Molecule: long non-coding RNA, 747 nt
Filed under: Nicotiana benthamiana
Lineage: Eukaryota; Viridiplantae; Streptophyta; Magnoliopsida; Solanales; Solanaceae
Description: long non-coding RNA (NBEN_LNC030798)
Source: RNAcentral